This 5123-nucleotide long non-coding RNA is filed under the name Sus scrofa (pig). RNAcentral describes it as "lncRNA (ENSSSCG00040032834.1)". The record is from RNAcentral. Lineage: Eukaryota; Metazoa; Chordata; Mammalia; Artiodactyla; Suidae.
UUCUUUUUUUUUUUUUUUUUUUUUUUUUUUUUUUUGCUUUUUAGGGCCACACCCAUUACACAUGUCAGUUCUCAGGCUAGGGGUUUAGAGCUGUAGCUGCUGGCCUACAUCACCUCUGGGACAUAAACUGCAGUUCACGGCAACACCCGAUAACUGACUUACUGAGCAAGGCCAGGGAUUGAACCCGCAUCCUCAUGGUUACUAGUCGGAUUUGUUUCUGCUUGUGCCACGAUGGGAACUCCUGUUUCAUUUUUAAACAAAGGUAAUAUGUAUUAGUCUCACUUGUCCAUGAAUACAAUAAUGAGAAAGGCUCAUGAAAUUAUUUGUUAUCCAGAAAUAACCUUUGCAAGUAAUGUUGGUAAGUAUAGGAAAAGGAAAAAAUCUUUACCAUUUUCUUUCUCAUCUUCAGUAUAACUGUGGUAUUUUAAGCUUAAUAGAGAUAAACUGAACAGAUUUACAUUUAGACUUAGUUUCACAUUCUUACAGAUUAUUUUUAGGGCUUGGUGAAUCAGGAGUGUUUUUAUGUCUUAGACAAACUUUAUUUUGUAAGAUACUUCUUUAUAUAAGCAAUAACCUCAAUUUGAGUUACUGUGGAAGACAAAUUUGUGAAGGAAAUGGAACCCAGCAGAUUUCUCAGAAAUAGUAUAUGUGAGAAACGCGACUUGUAUAAUGCAGUGAUUUCUAUAAUUCGUCAUAUGUUUGGGUAAUUAGAAAUUUUUCCAGCCUUAUAGUCAUUGAACAUCUAACCAUAAAGAAAUGAGACAAAUCUAGUUAAUAGCCCUAAAAACAACCCCAUGACUCUUAGGAAAAAAGAAUCCUGGCACUCCAUAGCAAUUUUAUUUACAACACUAGUAUUCGAGAAGUUGGUGAUGCCAGCUUCUGAAAGAAUAACCUCAGUGUCCUGGAGAAAACUUGGAUUAGGAAAAGUGAAAUUAGAAAUGCCUUCAGUAGAUAAAGAAACCUACCUUCUUUCUACCUCUCAAAAUUUGAUUUGUAUUAUAAAUAGCUUGUUAAAAGAGUAUUGAGUUACUUCUGUUAGAGCAAGGGUUUUUGCAACGGGGCUAAGUGUCUGGAUUGCCUAUAGAACUCUAGAAGUGUUUAGCUUAUUGCCCACGCAUCCUAGCUGAAUUAUUCUCCAGGGUUGUAACCAGCUGUUGUGUAUUUUUAAAAUACUGUAGGUGAGUGUACAGAGGUAGAGUAGAGCAGCCCUCCACAUCCCGUAUUUUUUGUGGUGUGUCACACAAUAACAAAAGUUUUAGCAAAUAUUUUAUUACUAAUUGUACUCAUAAAUGUAUUUUGAAGAUGUAUAGAUGACCUAAGGAUCAAUUUAUACAUGGUAGUUCCUGGAGAAGAUGGUAGCUUCCUGGAGAUUUCUUAGAGUGAAGGUUUAGUCUAAUACUAAGAAAGUCUGAUCAUGAGAGACACUUGGUCAGUAAGAGUGCAAAGCUGUGACAGUUAUGGUAAAGUAACAGAUAUUUAAAAGAAACAAGUAUCUGGACAUGAGAAUUUUCUGAAAAUAAUUUUGCUUUAGUAACUCCUUGCCCUAAACCCUGAUUUUUAAAAACUUAUUGAUGUUAUUGUAGUAUUUGUGGUGUUUGGGUGCAUGAUAUAUAAUAAUAUGAGUGUCCUUUUUUUAGCUCCAGAUAUUUUGACUCAGUUACUAAAUUUGUGAUCUUUAUAUUCAAAAUUCUUAGCAGUCUUUCAUCCAUAACUGCUGAAGAAUAAAAACAUGAGAAAGAGAGCAACUAUAUAAAAAUUUUAAAGCAGCCCCAAGAAUCCAACCCUUAAUGAGUCCUCCUCCUUUAGAGGAGGAAGGUCCUCUUGGAAAUGGUUAUGUAAGGCUGACUUUAGUGUCUUAAACCAUAUUAGUGGCCUCUGGAUCCCUGCUGCUUCAGUUUCAAAUCUAUAUUAAAUGGCUUGCUAGUUUUUUACAGAAAUUAGUAACAUUUUAAGCUUCAGUGGUAGUAGCAGCCUCUUGGUGAGGAUUAAACAGAGUUAUGCGAAGCAUCUAGUAGAGGACCUUGGACCUUGGAACUUGUAAGUUUGUUGUGGAUUUUUUUAAGUUUUUAAAAAGUUGUCUCGAGUACUUAGGACAUAAAGACAGGGAUUACCUCAGAUGAACUCUUAGUGAGUUAUUGGUAAGUCAUACUUCAAUGACCGAAUUCUUAGUAGAAUACAUUUCCAGUUUUUUCCUCUGAUAAAGUGAUACAGGGCAGCAGGGGUUUUUUUUAACCCAUACCACAUAAGGAAUGUAAAAUUCCUGUUACUGAGAUCAUCUUAAGGCCUGGGGUGGCUGAAGUGGAAAAAAUUACAUAACAAUAAAAUUUUGCUUGUGUACCUGUGUAGUUCAAAAAAGGCCCACAAUUGAUUAUGAAAAUUAGACCCUGUCUCCCUUCAUUAAGAAUCACUAUAAAUUCUCCAAAAGAUGAUAUUUAGAGUUCCCGUUAUGGCUUAGCAAGUUAAGGACCCGUUGUCUCUGUGAGGUUGUCGGUUGCUUCAUAACCUCAUUCACUUGGGUAAGGAUCUAGCAUUGCCACAAGCUACAACUUAGAUCACAGAUUCAGCUAUGUCACAAGCCCCAGCUGCAGCUCUGAUUUGACCCCUAGCCUAGGAACUUCCAUAUGCCACAGGUGUGGCGGUAAAAAGAAUAAAUAAAUAAGAUGAUAUUCUAAAUCAUAAAAAAAAUGUUAGAAUUGUUUCAUGCCUCAAAAAGUUCUAAAAUAAUGCUUUUAUAUUUCAGGCUAUUCAAUGCAAGAGAACUAUUAGUUAUCUGCCUUUCUGUAUCUCUUCCCAGAUCAAAUCAAUUUUCUUAACAUUCUCAGAAAUGAAAGGUGAUGUAAACCCAGCAGUUAAAGUAAAAAUUAUUUUAACCUGAUCACAGAAUUGAGUUAAGAUAACCAAACUUAAGGGAGAAAAUGAAGAACAUUUUAACAAAAGUUCUCAUUAUAUCGUAACCUUAUGGGAGUUCCUGUUGUGGCUCAGCGGAAACAAAUCUGACUAGCAUCCAUGAGGACGCAGGUUUGAUCCCUGGCCUCACUUAGUGGGUUAAGGAUCCAGUGUUGCGGUGAGUUGCGGUGAGCUGUGGUGUAGGUUGCAAACAUGGCUUAGAUCUGGCGUGGCUGUGGCUGUGGCGUAGGCCAGCAGCUACAGCUCCAAUUAAACCCCUGAGCUGGGAACCUCCAUAUGCCUUGGUUGUGGCCCUAAAAAGACAAAAAAACCAACAUGUAUAUGUAUUAUAACCUUAUAUUGAGUUAAGUUCUGCUAUGGUGUAUAUUUCUGGAGGGUUUUUUGUUUUGUUUUGGCCCUUGCCUGGGACAUGUGGAAGUUCCUGGGCUAGGGAUCUCAGCAGUGACAUCCUGGAGUCCUUACCCUGCUGUGCCACAGGGAAACUCCUAUAGUAUGUAUUUCUAAAGUGGACACAGAUGAGCAUGCCAAACAAUCAGCAGUUGGAGUUUCUCCAGAGAAUACCUUUAACUCAUUCUGAAAACUAUAAUAUUUCAUAUUUUGAACAGUUUACUUUGUGUUAACGAUAUUCAGAAAACUAAUACUUGUUUUCUAAUCUUGUUUUAGUUGACCCACUGUUGUGUUGGUAAGAAGUUGACAUAAUUUUAGCUCCUGGAUUUAGUUGCUGCAAAAGGUAAAUGCAGUAAAUAUCCCAAGGUCAAGAUGUAAAAUCGAAAUGUCAGUAGCUAAUGAUUAAUCAGAAAAGUGAGCCCUCCUACAGUUUUUCUCAGUUUUUAAUGGGUUUGGAUAAAGCGGCACUGGAAAUCAUUUCAAGAACAAGUAUAUAAAUUUAGUCCAAUAUAAAUAUGUUCGUGAAUAUAGCCACUCAUGGAAACUACAGAGAUACACAAUUGUAAGCAGUUAUGUAAGUAGGUACUAUUCGUAAUUAAUAUGAUAUGGACUCUGAUGAUGCCCUAUGUUUUUGAACUUGCUGUAAAGGUGAAUCCUCAGUUCUGUCUUAAACACUUUAGGAAAUGCUCAUCAGUCACCCUCCUCACCCUUAACUCACGAUUUGAUGAAUUUGGCACAUAAGUGGUUACAAAUGGAAUAGCCUAGGGACUUGUUUUGAGCAACUCCACCACCAGAAGGUAAAACUCAGGAACCAUAAUCCUUGACAUAACCUAACCUAUUUUUUUCUUCACUUUGAGCCAAAGAAAAACUCAGCUUUACUCCUUCUUUACCCUGCAUUACCAGACUUAACCAUUAAUGUUGUAUUACAUUGGAUCUUUCAUAGUUUCUUAGCAAUUGUCCCCAAAGUUUAUUUUUUUGGCUUUGCCCACAGCAUACAGAAGUUCAUGGGCCAGGGACUGAACCCACGCCACAGCUGCAGCCAGUGCCACAUCAGUGACAACACAGGAUCUUUUCCCAGCUAGGCCACCAGGGAACUGCAAUAAAAACUUAUUUUAAGUUUUAAACAUGCUAAAAUAAAGCAGUUGCUUAAAGGGUAACAUACAAAAGUAUAUCUUAGCUAUGGGCAUGGCCCCAAAAAAAAGGUUUGGCUCUGAAAGAGGUGAGAAAUAAUAGUUUACAGAGGGCAUGUGGCAUCGAAAAAAUUUUAUAUUUAAAUCUUCUCCUUCCAGAUCAAAGUCAGGUUCUACUUCAGGACAUUCUUACCAUUUCCCAGAGGAAUUAGGACUUAAAAUUUUACUUUGGCUUGAAGUCAAGUCAGGGGAAGAUAUGGAAGAUUUCUGAAGUACUUUUGUGGUUUUUUUCUCCAUGACACUCAGUGCUUUUCAUUUGAUUUAUUUUUUCCUUCCCAGUUUUCAAUUCUUUGUAAAUCUUUCAUUUAACCAAAUUUGUACUCUUAAGAAUAGUGGUUUUUGGAGUUCCUGUCGUGGCGCAGUGGUUAACGAAUCCGACUAGGAACCAUGAGGUUGCGGGUUCGGUCCCUGCCCUUGCUCGGUGGGUUAACGAUCCGGCGUUGCCGUGAGCUGUGGUGUAGGUUGCAGACGCGGCUCGGAUCCCGCGUUGCUGUGGCUCUGGUGUAGGCCAGGAGCUACAGCUCCGAUUCAACCCCUAGCCUUGGAACCUCCAUAUGCCGAGGGAGCGGCCCAAGAAAUAGCAACAACAACAACAACAACAAAGACAAAAGACAAAAAAAAAAAAAAAAAAAAAAAAAA